This 253-nucleotide ribosomal RNA is filed under the name uncultured bacterium. RNAcentral describes it as "partial 16S ribosomal RNA". It matches the Rfam family "Bacterial small subunit ribosomal RNA", at positions 524 to 776 of the family's 1533-position model. The record is from RNAcentral.
UACGUAGGGUGCAAGCGUUGUCCGGAAUUAUUGGGCGUAAAGAGCUCGUAGGCGGUCUGUCGCGUCGGCUGUGAAAACCUGGGGCUCAACUCCGGGCCUGCAGCCGAUACGGGCAGACUAGAAUUCGGUAGGGGAGACUGGAAUUCCUGGUGUAGCGGUGAAAUGCGCAGAUAUCAGGAAGAACACCCGUGGCUAAGGCGGCUCUCUAGUACGGUACUGACGCUGAGACGCGAAAGCGUGGGGAGCGAACAGG